RNAcentral lists this long non-coding RNA (1073 nucleotides) under Astyanax mexicanus (Mexican tetra). RNAcentral's name for it is "lncRNA (ENSAMXG00005012981.1)". The record is from RNAcentral. Lineage: Eukaryota; Metazoa; Chordata; Actinopteri; Characiformes; Acestrorhamphidae.
AAAGAGCUUUGAGUACUUGUCAUGAGUCUCACGGGUCCUCCUUCCUCUUCCACGCCACAAUAUGACAGAGGCGGGUUUUUGAAAACCCUAUUCAUCUUUCUCAUAGGGAAAAAACGCUUAGACAUGGAAACCGUACGAGGACUACAGAAUGACGCACGACUUCAGUGGUCUAUUCCCUGAAUGGUUUAAUCAUAUUAUGGGCUGUUGAGAGAAAAAUAUGCAUAUCUCUUGCAGUCUUUUUUGAGGAACAUUGUUUUUAAACAUUUCAGUCAUUUUCUCACACAUUUGUUACAAACUAUUUGCUUUUCAGAGAUACAUAAUGAAAUAAAAUUGAACAGAUAAAGCAUAUAUUAGUUUGGGUUCAUAAUGUCUGCAAUCGAAAUAAAGACUAAAUGUAAGAAACAUUGAAUUUUAAUCCCAUGUUGUCCUAACUUUUUUUUUUUUUUUUUUACCAGUUGUGGGGCUGUAAUUCCUGCGUUUAACUGACUUUUUUUUUUAUUUGUCCCUCAUAAGGCAAUUGACUGUCAAAAUAUUAAAUGAUUAUUGUUGCUCCAAGAAUACACACAUUCAAAUGAACGUAAUGUUUGGUAAGUUUAUUAAUUACAUAUAUGAACAACAUAAACACAGAUCUCACAAUCACUCCCAGCUAACGGAGAAUGUUAUAAGAAGGUUCAACAAGGAUUUAAAAAUGUUCCAGCAAGGUUAGCCUGUAAUGUCACAGUUAUAAUGUUCUAGGAAUGUCCUGAAAACGUGUGACACAUUAAAUGUUUGCAUCACAGCAUUAAUAGAACAUUUCUCACAUAACGUUCCCAGAAAGAGGAUUACUAACAUUAUGGAAAUGUUAAAAGUAAAACAUUGACAAAAGUGAUGUUGCAGAAACAUUAGAUGAACGUUUAAAAAUGUUAAAUAAAAAGAGCAUCCAGAAAAUUGUUAUCCGGAAUGAUAUUAAUCUUGUUCUUAUGGUUAGGUGUUUUGUUGUCUUUGUUGUUUCAGAAACGCUGAUAACCACACGGCUGUUCUUCUUCCUGCUGCCUCUGAAAGUGAUUUUCACAGCAGGGCUGAAAAACCACGGC